AAAGCCAUGAAGUCACCCCAAGUUCAAACCCAAAAUGCAAUUUGCAGUGGUUAGAAAUGACAAAGGAUGGGUGGUAGGAUCCAGAGAAUAAAACAGUGAAACCCAAUGGACCUUAAAUAGAUCUGAGGGCACUGAUUUGAUUAUUUUCGGUGAAAUCUUUUAAGAAAAUUGUGCCAGAUUCUUCACAGAAAAUUUGGUAGAGCCUAUGUUUCAUCACUGGCCUAGCAAAGGCAAGCUGGCUAACAGGGAAACAAGGAGAACUGUGUGCUCAGCCCUCCAGAGUGGCACGGAUUAUGAGGAGGUGAUGGUCCUUCCCUGCCAAGAUCCUGAGACACUGUCACUCUGGAAUCCACAAAGAGAUUCAGAUACUGUGAAAGGAUUUGAGAGUUUUUUUGCGAAUCCAAAGAUGGCAUUUACAAAAGGUGGAGAAGCAGUUCCCUAUUGAGGGACAUGCAUACAAAAAGCGGAUGACAACACAUCCCAUAGAGUUCCCAGGGAAGAAUGAACCCAGAUUCUUGACCUGCAGAGGUGGUGUACUGCCUGGAGAAAUCACUGGCUGGCAACCGUGCUAUUCUAUCUGUCCACCUAACUGUGGGCUCCCAGAUCACCACUGCUAUGGGUAGGGGGCUGUAUGGUGGGCCUGCUCGGGCUGACAGGCUAGCUGUGCUCCCAUACCAGAGGUGGGAGAAGGAAAUCACAUCUGGUGUGCAGCUAUGUCGUGCCAGGCACUGUGCUGUGUAUUGCACACAUCUCAAACCUUGUGACAAACAUGUAAGGUAUUUUUUUACAUAUUACAAAUGAAGGAACUGGGCUCAGAAAAGCUGCAUUAUUUGCCCAAAUUGCAGCAGUAAUGCUGAAUCCAGGUUAAUCUGACUCCACAACCCAUGUUCUUUUCACUACAUUCCCAUAUCCUUGUUCCCCCUACUGUCCUCACUGGUCAAGGUGAGCUUGGUCUUCCACAAACAGGCUAGAAAAGUAUGCUUACUUAUCUUUAACUUUAUGCUUUUAAACUAAUUCUUACAAAAUCUUCUCCAGAUAAGUCAAAGACAAUGGGAAUGUAUAUUUCUAAUACAUUAAUUAUACUACAUUAUUGGUUUAC
Molecule: long non-coding RNA, 1099 nt
Organism: Mandrillus leucophaeus (drill)
Lineage: Eukaryota; Metazoa; Chordata; Mammalia; Primates; Cercopithecidae
Exons: 4
Source: RefSeq, a predicted model, not a curated record